Molecule: ribosomal RNA, 2831 nt
Organism: Oceanicola granulosus HTCC2516
Lineage: Bacteria; Pseudomonadati; Pseudomonadota; Alphaproteobacteria; Rhodobacterales; Roseobacteraceae
Rfam family: Bacterial large subunit ribosomal RNA
Source: Rfam
GAUCAAGCGCGAAAAGGGCGUUUGGUGGAUGCCUUGGCAGUAAGAGGCGAUGAAGGACGUGAUACUCUGCGAUAAGCCAUGGGGAGCUGAGAAUAAGCUUUGAUCCAUGGAUCUCCGAAUGGGGCAACCCACCUGACAGUUUGUUAUAAUUGCCGCUUGCGGCAGCCUAUAAUGAGCUGAACCAGGUACUUCUCACCUGAAUACAUAGGGUUUGAAGAGCAAACCCGGGGAACUGAAACAUCUAAGUACCCGGAGGAAAGGAAAUCAACAGAUACUCCGCUAGUAGUGGCGAGCGAACGCGGACCAGCCGAGCAAUGAGAGUGACCGGAACAUGUUGGAAAGCAUGGCCACAGCGGGUGACAGCCCCGUACGGGAAGCUCGAUUUGACGUAUUAAGUAGGGCGGGACACGUGAAAUCCUGUCUGAAGAUCGGGGGACCACCCUCGAAGGCUAAGUACUCCUUACUGACCGAUAGCGAACCAGUACCGUGAGGGAAAGGUGAAAAGCACCCCGACGAGGGGAGUGAAACAGUACCUGAAACCGAACGCCUACAAUCAGUCGGAGGCUCCUUGCGAGCUGACGGCGUACCUUUUGUAUAAUGGGUCAUCGACUUGGUCUCACGAGCAAGCUUAAGCCGUUAGGUGUAGGCGCAGCGAAAGCGAGUCUUAAUAGGGCGCAUGAGUUCGUGGGAUCAGACCCGAAACCGAGUGAUCUAGGCAUGACCAGGAUGAAGGUAAGGUAACACUUACUGGAGGUCCGAACCCACACCUGUUGAAAAAGGUCGGGAUGAGUUGUGCCUAGGGGUGAAAGGCCAAUCAAACUCGGAGAUAGCUGGUUCUCCGCGAAAUCUAUUUAGGUAGAGCGUCAUCCGAAUACCCUCGGGGGUAGAGCACUGGAUGGGUAAUGGGGCCCCACAGGCUUACUGAUCCUAACCAAACUCCGAAUACCGAGGAGUACUAGAUGGCAGACACACGGCGGGUGCUAACGUCCGUCGUGGAGAGGGAAACAACCCUGACCUACAGCUAAGGCCCCCAAUUCGUGGCUAAGUGGGAAAGCAGGUGGGACGACCAAAACAACCAGGAGGUUGGCUUAGAAGCAGCCAUCCUUUAAAGAUAGCGUAACAGCUCACUGGUCUAAACAAGUUGUCCUGCGGCGAAGAUGUAACGGGGCUCAAGCCACGAGCCGAAGCUUAGGAUGUGCAUAGCACAUGGUAGCGGAGCGUAGUGUGACAUAAUUCCAUGUCUCCUUACUGCCCUCGGGCAGAUUGGAGACACGGAGUUUUCUGUGAAGCCGGGGCGUGAGCCAUCCGGUGGAGAGAUCACUAGCGAGAAUGAUGACAUGAGUAGCGACAAACAGGGUGAGAGACCCUGUCGCCGAAAGUCCAAGGGUUCCUGCUUAAAGCUAAUCUGAGCAGGGUGAGCCGACCCCUAAGGCGAGGCCGAAAGGCGUAGUCGAUGGGAACCAGGUUAAUAUUCCUGGGCCAGGAGGAUGUGACGGAUCUCGACGGUAGUUCGUCCUUAUCGGAUUGAACGGGCUGCUUAGAGGUUCCUGGAAAUAGCCCUCCAUGAGAUCGUACCCUAAACCGACACAGGUGGACUGGUAGAGAAUACCAAGGCGCUUGAGAGAACGAUGUUGAAGGAACUCGGCAAAAUACCUCCGUAAGUUCGCGAGAAGGAGGCCCGGUUUUUACGCAAGUAGAGGCCGGGGGCACAAACCAGGGGGUGGCGACUGUUUACUAAAAACACAGGGCUCUGCGAAGUCGCAAGACGACGUAUAGGGUCUGACGCCUGCCCGGUGCCGGAAGGUUAAAAGGAGAGGUGCAAGCCUUGAAUUGAAGCCCCGGUAAACGGCGGCCGUAACUAUAACGGUCCUAAGGUAGCGAAAUUCCUUGUCGGGUAAGUUCCGACCUGCACGAAUGGCGUAACGACUUCCCCGCUGUCUCCAACAUCGACUCAGCGAAAUUGAAUUGCCGGUCAAGAUGCCGGCUUCCCGCGGUUAGACGGAAAGACCCCAUGAACCUUUACUAUAGCUUCGCACUGGCAUCAGGAUUGCGAUGUGCAGGAUAGGUGGUAGGCUUUGAAGCAGUGACGCCAGUCGCUGUGGAGCCAUCCUUGAGAUACCACCCUUCGCACUCUUGAUGUCUAACCGCGGCCCGUUAUCCGGGUCCGGGACCCUGCGUGGUGGGUAGUUUGACUGGGGCGGUCGCCUCCCAAACAGUAACGGAGGCGCGCGAAGGUUGGCUCAGAGCGGUCGGAAAUCGCUCGUUGAGUGCAAUGGCAGAAGCCAGCCUGACUGCGAGACUGACAAGUCGAGCAGAGUCGAAAGACGGCCAUAGUGAUCCGGUGGUCCCGAGUGGAAGGGCCAUCGCUCAACGGAUAAAAGGUACUCUGGGGAUAACAGGCUGAUGGUGCCCAAGAGUCCAUAUCGACGGCACCGUUUGGCACCUCGAUGUCGGCUCAUCUCAUCCUGGGGCUGAAGCAGGUCCCAAGGGUAUGGCUGUUCGCCAUUUAAAGAGGUACGUGAGCUGGGUUUAGAACGUCGUGAGACAGUUCGGUCCCUAUCUGCCGUGGGUGUAGGAUACUUGAGAGGAGUUGCCCCUAGUACGAGAGGACCGGGGUGAACGAUCCACUGGUGGACCAGUUGUCGUGCCAACGGCAGUGCUGGGUAGCUAUGAUCGGAAAGGAUAACCGCUGAAGGCAUCUAAGCGGGAAGCCCCCCUCAAAACAAGGUAUCCCUGAGGACCGUGGUAGACCACCACGUCGAUAGGCCGGAGGUGUAAGCGCAGCAAUGUGCUCAGCUGACCGGUACUAAUGGUCCGAUAGGCUUGAUUUG